This 68-nucleotide transfer RNA is filed under the name Maja crispata. Its description in RNAcentral is "tRNA-His". It matches the Rfam family "tRNA". From Rfam's summary of the family: Transfer RNA (tRNA) molecules are approximately 80 nucleotides in length. Their secondary structure includes four short double-helical elements and three loops (D, anti-codon, and T loops). The record is from RNAcentral. Lineage: Eukaryota; Metazoa; Arthropoda; Malacostraca; Decapoda; Majidae.
ACCUAAAUAGUUUAAAUAAAACGUUAGCUUGUGGUGUAAAAGAUGUAGAGAUUUCUUUACUUUAGGUA